Long non-coding RNA from Alligator mississippiensis (American alligator), 832 nucleotides. RefSeq lists it as uncharacterized. Lineage: Eukaryota; Metazoa; Chordata; Crocodylia; Alligatoridae. The record is from RefSeq and is a predicted model, not a curated record. The transcript is spliced from 3 exons.
GUUGCUGGUUGAAAUAUUUCCAGUGAAAGGUGGGGGGUGGGUUGUUUAAAACAAUGGCAUUUUUAAAAGAAAAAAAAAAAACUUUUUUGUGAAAAUAUGUCACACUUUUAGUAUAAAUGCCAUCCUUUUUUUCUGAAAUUUAACCCCAAAUGUUCUUGCUAUCAAGGAAGCCUUUCUAGAAGUGGAUUUGGUGAAUCAUUCUGGUCCAGGCCCAGCAGGGUAUAAAAGGGGACUCCCUGAGAGACCAGGGAGCCAGCAACCAAGAAGCCAGUGAACAGGGGUUGCAAACAGGGUAGGCAGUUUGCAGGGAGCAAUAGGAGGAAGGGGAAGAUAAGCCAGGCACCAGGUACCAGAUCCUGCCCAGGGAAGAACAACCAGAAAGAUUUUUUACCUCCCUGGCUGCCAUGUGACACCUCUAGGAAGGAAUUUUACUUAAUCUACAUACCAAAGAGCAACUCAGCACAACUCUCAGACACUCUCAUGGAGGAUGAAGAUCCUUCAAUCCAAGAAGAAGGAUCGCUAGGAAGAGAUGAGAUCCACCUGGCAAAGAGAGGGAAGAGCAUCUUCACAGCCAGGCUCACCUCCUCCUGGUGAGGAGGACUGACUCUUUGCACAAGUAUAUCUGUGGGGAGGGUUUCGGAGCUGGCUCAGGAAUCCUGUGUUUGGGCAGAUUUCCCUUUGAGAAUUCACUGUUUUCAAAGCAUCUACAAGUGUCAUAUCUUCAUGGAUCAUUAAAAAGGCAAGCACAAGAGAUGCUGAGCGGCUUAUCCCCAUGGCACAAUGGACAAACACUUUACCUGCAAAGAAAUAGAGAACACAAUCUGGUGGGCUU